RNAcentral lists this ribosomal RNA (468 nucleotides) under uncultured bacterium. Its description in RNAcentral is "partial 16S ribosomal RNA". It matches the Rfam family "Bacterial small subunit ribosomal RNA", at positions 28 to 507 of the family's 1533-position model. The record is from RNAcentral.
GACGAACGCUGGCGGCGUGCUUAACACACGCAAGUCGAACGGAAAGGCCCUGCUUUUGUGGGGUGCUCGAGUGGCGAACGGGUGAGUAACACGUGAGUAACCUGCCCUUGACUUUGGGAUAACUUCAGGAAACUGGGGCUAAUACCGGAUAGGAGCUCCUGCUGCAUGGUGGGGGUUGGAAAGUUUCGGCGGUUGGGGAUGGACUCGCGGCUUAUCAGCUUGUUGGUGGGGUAGUGGCUUACCAAGGCUUUGACGGGUAGCCGGCCUGGGAGGGUGACCGGAUACAUUGGGACUGAGAUACGGCCCAGACUCCUAUGGGAGGCAGCAGUGGGGAAUAUUGUAUAAUGGGCGGAGGCCUGAUGCAGCAACGCCGCGUGCGGGAUGACGUCAUUCGGUUUGUAAACCGCUUUCGCCUGUGACGAAGCGUGAGUGACGGUAAUGGGUAAAGAAGCACCGGCUAACUACGUG